ACGGGUGAGUAACACGUGGGUAAUCUACCCUUUGGUGGGGAAUAACUCUGGGAAACCGGAGCUAAUACCGCAUAAUCCCGAGAGGGAAAAGCAGCAAUGCGCCGAAGGAGGAGCCCGCGGCCGAUUAGCUAGUUGGUAGGGUAACAGCCUACCAAGGCAAAGAUCGGUAGCCGGCCUGAGAGGGCACACGGCCACACUGGCACUGAAACACGGGCCAGACUCCUACGGGAGGCAGCAGUGGGGAAUCUUGCACAAUGGGGGAAACCCUGAUGCAGCGACGCCGCGUGAGCGAUGAAGCCCUUCGGGGUGUAAAGCUCUUUCGGCAGGGAAGAUUAUGACGGUACCUGCAGAAGCAGCUGCGGCUAACUACGUGCCAGCAGCCGCGG
RNAcentral lists this ribosomal RNA (386 nucleotides) under uncultured bacterium. RNAcentral describes it as "bacterial SSU rRNA". It matches the Rfam family "Bacterial small subunit ribosomal RNA", at positions 102 to 520 of the family's 1533-position model. The record is from RNAcentral.